This is a long non-coding RNA of Podarcis raffonei (Aeolian wall lizard), 1134 nucleotides long. RefSeq lists it as uncharacterized. The transcript has 3 exons. NCBI's taxonomy places the organism in Eukaryota, Metazoa, Chordata, Lepidosauria, Squamata, Lacertidae. The record is from RefSeq and is a predicted model, not a curated record.
UGACUGCUACUGCCAAAUGAAGAAUUACCCCUCCAAGGUCCCUGUUUUUUAACCAAGCCUUCCAAGGCUGCAGUCAAUCCACUUGCUUCCUCCGGAAAGCUUGUGCUAGACAAAGACAUGUGUCCACACAACACAAUAUUUUCUUGUAGCACCAAAAUCAUAUAAUAGUUUGUGAAGUUUGACUGGCCCAGCAAUGGUACAGGAAAGACUGAGCUACUGCCUGACAAGUCUCCAUAUCUGCUUAGCCACCCAACAGCUUGCAGUUGUCCCUAUGUUGGCCUAAAGGUGAUUUUCUAGGUUAAAACCUGCUACUUGUCCUUUGAAUUACACCUUGACUAUGAUUUCAGCAAACCAGACCUGACACCAAGCGCAGGAAUCAGACUUCAUUAGCAAUUCUAAGUCAAAUCAAGGAAGAUUAAAGGAAACAAAAACAAAAAACAAAACAAAAAAAGCCUUUCAUACUGUAUGAAUUACAUUUUGCAAGCUUGAUUUCAAAUCAUUUUCUAUAUAGCAGAAGUACAUUCCAUGUAACUGUGCCUUGGUAGUAAACAUUAUUUCACAGGAGAUAAUUCUAAGAAGAAUCAGAUUUUUUAAAUCCCAUCAACCUGAAAUCCAAACAAUAGCCAAUUGUAGGAAAAAAUGUUUCCAAGAGCCAAACAUUUCUGAAAUUAACUUAUCUCUGUUCUAAAGGAGCAUGAUAGAGACAGCAUUUUUUUAUUUUAUUGCAUGUCCUACAUUAAGAACCACUGAAUGAACUGAUCUCCAUCUUCUGGAAAAGCAGUAUCAAGGAUUUUUUAAUCACUGUUCUGUAUAUUCUGAGAGGAAAAUAACUAGUUUCAGUUAACAAGCAGACACAAUGGGAAAUGUUUUCACACAGCUGAACUCUCAGCAUGCAUAAAGAACACUACGGGCAGCUGGACACAUUGCAAACUACACUGCUGGUGAGACCCCAGCUGUCUACCACCUUCAUUUGGAGAGGGCCCAUUCCAACAUAUUGGGCCCAGAAAACCCUGUUGGCACACCACAGAUCAGAGUCAAUAAUAUCCUGACUGAGAUGGGUUGACCAGAACUAUACACAGGAUUCCAAAUGUGGCUUCACUGUAGAUAUAUAGACAUUAAAUGUCAGCUGUUUUA